UCUGUUUCAUUCAAAUUUCUAGGUCACUAAAGUCCUUCAGAAAAUGAAACAAAGAUCUGCAAAUUCAAAAUAAGAACAAAUUUCAGAUGCAUUACCGACUUCCUGAGUUCGAACCCCAGCGAUGCAGAGCAAUAACCCUAGCAAAAGCAGCGCUUUUCUCAUUGCAGGUCUCACAAAAGAAUAUCUGUGAAGGAAACUCAGUGUGGCGAACCAGGUUUAAAUAAUAUCUUGUUCGGUACAGUAUUCAACAGUGAAUUAGUAAUACGAAGGGAAGGAGUCUUGGCGCGAAAGUCUUGUAAACGAUGUCAUGAGCUCCAGAAAAUGUAAGGUCAGGCUUCAAAUUUUCUUUCUGUGAGAAAACCCUGAUUUUGCAUUUAUUAUUUUCUGAGCAGAUCGCGGAAACAGUCAAGUUUGUAGAGUUGAAUUAUGUUUUUCAAGAGUUUUAGGUCGGGUUAGGUGGCCAUUUUUCCACCAUGCGAUCCUCCAUUUCACAGGUGUAAAUCUUCUGGAAACUGAUGACCAUAAAUCUGUCCAAGGAGCAGUUUCAAUGUAUUUUUGUUGAUUA
Cryptomeria japonica (Japanese cedar) is the source of this 565-nucleotide long non-coding RNA. RefSeq lists it as uncharacterized. Lineage: Eukaryota; Viridiplantae; Streptophyta; Pinopsida; Cupressales; Cupressaceae. The transcript has 2 exons. The record is from RefSeq and is a predicted model, not a curated record.